RNAcentral lists this unclassified non-coding RNA (244 nucleotides) under Hevea brasiliensis (rubber tree). Lineage: Eukaryota; Viridiplantae; Streptophyta; Magnoliopsida; Malpighiales; Euphorbiaceae. The record is from RNAcentral.
AAACAACGUCGCAUCCAACGGUGAUGUUGAAGAAGACAAGACAGAGUAAAUUAUAUCCCAAAAAAUGUAAUUUUGAGGUAGCCUUAAUCGUAUGAUUUAUGGCCUUGUUAUUGUUGUAGCAAUACUCCUCAUGCUCCUUGAAAUCUAAAUUGAGAACUUUUUAGGAGAAAAAUUUUAUGACGAGAAAGUUCACUUUGAGAUUGCAAUAGGAGAGAGCUCCUUUUCAGUUCUUAUUCAACAUCAC